This 329-nucleotide ribosomal RNA is filed under the name Pheidole sp. n. G MKT-2019. RNAcentral's name for it is "partial small subunit ribosomal RNA". Lineage: Eukaryota; Metazoa; Arthropoda; Insecta; Hymenoptera; Formicidae. The record is from RNAcentral.
UUAUAAUAAAGAAUUAAUUAAAAGAAAAUUAAAUGUAAUUCAUUAAAUUUAAAUAAUUUGGCGGUAUUUUAAAUAGUUAGAGGAAUUUGUUGAGUAAAUGAUAUUCCACGAAUGGGGAGUCCUGAUAAAAAUUUUUAUGUAUUGUUGUAUAAAAAUUAUUUUAUAAAAAUUUAUGAUUAAAAAAUUUGAUAUAAUUUAAAUUCAAAUCAAAAUGUAGAAUUAUUAGGUUUUUAAUGAAUUACAAUUUAAUUUAGUAAUAGAUUUAUUUUUUUAAUUAAAGUAAUGAAAUAGGAUUUAAAAGUAAGUUUAAAAAAAUAUUUAAAUUGAAA